This is a long non-coding RNA of Panthera uncia (snow leopard), 3768 nucleotides long. RefSeq lists it as uncharacterized. The transcript has 2 exons. Lineage: Eukaryota; Metazoa; Chordata; Mammalia; Carnivora; Felidae. The record is from RefSeq and is a predicted model, not a curated record.
AGGGUGAGAUGCAUAGACCUGUUGCCCAGGCUGGGAGUCUUUAUACCACGCGGCUCGACUUUAUUUUUCCAAAGUCAGUUAAAGCUCAUCUGACUCUAAACCUUACCCAUUAAUUUUAUUUUUGAUGCAAAUUAAGAAUUGUACCUCAAGAAGCCAUUGUGCUUCUAGAAAACCUGUUCUUGAAGGCUUAUCUCUGUGCUUCUGCCUCCCCUCCAUCCAUUCUCUGGAGCGAAGGUAAUGACAUUCAUACAAGGGGCAACCCACCUUCUGUUCUCCCAAGGAGAGGAGUCAGCAGCCUGUAAGUGGAUCUGAUGAAUUUAUGGUUCAAACUGAAGUGAUUGCUCUUGUCUCUGUUUUCACUCCUUUGGGAGAAAGUGGUUCUCCAGUGGUUUAGGCUUUUGCUUAAGGCAUAUGAAGUUGAUUUCCCUUUGUACGUGUUUCCAAAUCAUUGCCUGAAGAAUUCGCUGGUUCUGUUUAAUUCAACAGAACGUUAUUGAACACCCACAACGUGCAGAAUUCUAGGAGAGAUUGAGGGAUGAGAACAACAGAGAGUUUAUGCUGUAAGACAAGUAUAGAAUUAGUUACAAAACACAAUAGAGUUCCUGAAAGAUGCUUUCAUAGAGAUGCCAAAAAUACAAUGUGGAUGGAUGUGUUAUGCCCGAAGUUCUGAAACCUCCCACAAAAGACCACCAGAGUCGUAAGUCAAAGCCAAGCGGCAAGGGUCAUUUAUUGCAGGUUCGAACCUGGACCUCUGUGCCCCCGUUGCCGGUGACGCCAAGAGGCCCUGAGAGAGGUUUUUACACCCCUUUUAUAGACAGGUACAAACAAGUCAUGGGGAAACCAGGAAUUUUUCACAGUUACAGAGCUGCGAUUGGUUGGUGUUUAAAGUUGGACACUUAACAGUAUUCGAUUGGUUCCUGCCUUUAGGUCAGACCACAACCGGGGGUACGGGUAUCACAAUGAUUGAUCAGGAAUACACGGAUGUGCCAGGCAACAAUGAUUGAUCAGGAGUACACGGAUGUGCCAAGUAACAACGGUUGAUCAGGAAUAUACGGAUGUGCCAGGCAACAAUGAUUGAUCAGGAAUACAUGGGCGCGCCAAGCAAUUGUACAGAAGCGGAACAAGCUGGUUAAGCUUGGUUAGGUUUCAGUUUCCCUUAACUUAAGCUUUUAAGUUUCAAUUUUCUCAGGCCUUUCAGAUGCAAAGGAUUGUGGGGCACUGAGAUGGGCAUUGGCAGUGAGCAGGGAAAGAUGAUCCCAAGUCCUGAUGGCUAGAGAGCAUUUUGAGGUGAGCAGUUGUGUGAGGGAAGGUAAGGGGUGGUGGGAAGAUAUUUCUGGAGAAUAUGCUCAUUUAGUUUGACUAAAGCAAGGAGCACAUAUGGUGGGGCAUUUGUGGAUGUUAAAUUUGAGUGUGUUGGGAGCAUCCAAUGGCAGGGGUGAAUAUAUUUUGCGGGUGUAUGCAAAGGGGAGAGAGUGAGGACAAGUUGUUGAGUGGGUCAGUGGCAUGAUUAGCAAUUAAUCUGGGGAAGAUAUGGCUGGAAGUCUAGACUUGGAAGGCAGCUGAAAUAUUGGGAAAAGCCAUUGAGGGUGGGGAGUGAGGAAAGCACUGAGCUGAGCUGGAGCAUUGGAGGGGAGUGGAGAGAGACCCCAGGGAAGUCUUGAGUGUGGAUUGGGUGAGAAAGGGCAGUGAGGUUCUCAAAGAGAAGGUUCUAGCAAUUGAGAGUAGGGCCAUGCCAUUCAAAAACAAAGCAAAACAAAACCCCAAAACAGAAUUCCAAAGCAGAAGCUGGUUUUAGAGGCUGGGGAUGGAUGAGAAGGUGAUUCCAACAUUUUGGAAAUGUUAAACUUGUUAUGUUGGAGCGCUAUCCAGUUGGAGGUGUUGUUCAGCCUGCUGUUGGAUGGGCUGUGUGGGAUUAGGGCAAGAAAUCCUGCCUCUCGGUUUGGCCACUGGAUUUUGGCACCUUUGCCCUGAGGCAGAGAGGAAGAGGGGAAGAAAAUCAGGACUGGAUUUAACAGAACAUGCAGGACUUCAGAGCAUGUUUUGGGGAGCAGUGGAGUUGGGCUUGGAGUCCUGCUGUGCUAUUCAAUUUCUGUGAGGAUUUGGGCAAUUGAUGGAAUAUCUCUGAGCCUCAGUUUUCCCACUUAAUAAGAUGGAGACCACUGUUUUUCUUCAACCUCAGAACGUUGUGUAAGGAUGAAUUGAGUUCAUUAAACAGGUACCAAUAUCGUCAUUACUUUGUUAGGCUGAAGAUUAUUAUUAUUUUUGUUAUAAGCUGGUAUGUCUUUCUAUUUUGCCUUUCAAUCCAUAGUAGUUACCCACGUGCAUUCAUACAUUCCCAGGCAUGUAUUUCAGGAUGGAACGUUAUAAGAGCAACGUUGCACCAUCAGGUCGAUUACAGGAAAUCUCCUAUACUGCUCAUGUGGUAUCCAGAAAAGUUGCUUUAAAAUUUUUUUUUUUAAUGUUUAUUUUUGAGAGAGAGGAAGAGCACAAGCAGGAGAGGAACAGAGAGAGAGGGACACAGACUUCAAAGCAGGCUCCAGGCUCUGAGCUGUCAGCACAGAGCCCAAUGUGGGGCUUGAACCCACAAACUGUGAGAGCAUGACCUGAGCCAAAGUUGUACACUUAACCGAGUGAGCCACCCAGGUGCCCCAAUAGCACUUAAAAAAAUUUUUUUUUUCAAUGUUUUUAUUUUUGAGAGAAAGAGAUACAGAGCACGAGUGGGGGAGGGGCAGAGAGAGGGAGACACAGAACCCAAAGCAGGCUCCAGGCUCUGAGCUGGCAGCACAGAGCCUGAUACGGGCCUCGAACCCACAAACCCUGAGAUCAUGACCUGAGCCAAAGUUGGACGCUCAACCAACUGAGCUACCCAGGUGCCCCAUAAAAGUUGCUUUUAUAUAUGGGGUUCUCUUGGUUGGUUGAUGGAAAAAAAUAAUAAGGAACUUCAGUUUUAAUUUUGGAAUUACAGAUCAGUUAACAUGUUUAUUUUCAAAUUUGCAGAGUUUAUGAUAUUGAAUUUUUCAAACUUUAUCAGAUUUAUUUUAUAUUUCUUAAAUUAUCUUCUCCUUAUUACCAGAGAGUGAACUGUAACUUCCUUUCCGUACGAGAAGCACAGCCAGUCACAGAGAAUCCUAUUUGUCUGCUUUUGACUGGCAGGAACACAAGCGAAGGUUGGGGUUUGUGACUUUUGAACGCUGUUCCGGUGGGUGUUCUGAAAAUGAGCUCUUUCAUUUGGUUCUUUUGCUUGCUGUCUGCUGUCCUGUUGACGUCAGGAAGAAAUGCUCUGGAGAGUUCUUCCCUGAGAGGGGUGUUGGCUCCAAUCCUGGUCUCUCGGGCUGUGCUACAGAAAUGUUGCUAAAGGCGGCUUUCCCCUGAUCAUCAUAAAUCACAAACUUUAUGGCUGCGAAAUGGCACAUCCAUUCUAGAAGUCAUGUGCAAAUUUGAAACACAAUGCUAAUAUUUAAUCCAAAUGUCUAAGGCUUUUAAAAUACUGGCCAAAUUUAGCCUAUCCUUUUAAGGAGUUCCUAUUAUAUGAAUUAAAGCAAUGUAGCUUUUUCAAAUUUUCAGGGAGGUUUACAGUGCUAGUGAAAGCAGAUACUUUUCAAGUUGAUUUUUGUUCCCCAACCUCCAAAAAGAGAACUCUUGUGUGUCUAGGCCUUUAAAAAGGAACAAUUCACAAGGACUCAAACCCUGACAGGAUGCUUCCCACCCUUGAAUUACUUAGACUGCAAGGCCAACAAUUUGAAUAAAAAUGGAGUGCAUCUGAAGGUA